CACCUCUUUUUCUUUUUGAAAAUUCAUCUACACCCUAUGGAUUUUAUUCCUUCGGGUGGAUCAACAAGUGACCAUACGCUAUUGAUCUCUAUGGACUUCAUCUUGGAUUUCAGGGCUUCAAGCCACUUGUCAGAGUCGGAUCUCUGCAUGGCAUCCAUAUUGGUGAUCGAAUCCUCAUUGUUUUCAUCAAGUUCAACAAGAUCACCGUCCUG
RNAcentral lists this long non-coding RNA (212 nucleotides) under Elaeis guineensis (African oil palm). RNAcentral describes it as "long non-coding RNA (EGUI_LNC051635)". Lineage: Eukaryota; Viridiplantae; Streptophyta; Magnoliopsida; Arecales; Arecaceae. The record is from RNAcentral.